Molecule: long non-coding RNA, 913 nt
Filed under: Nicotiana benthamiana
Lineage: Eukaryota; Viridiplantae; Streptophyta; Magnoliopsida; Solanales; Solanaceae
Description: long non-coding RNA (NBEN_LNC003314)
Source: RNAcentral
UGGGUAGUUGUUGUUGUUGUUGUUGUUCUGCACUUUUAAGGCGUAUGCUGCGAACUUUUAAAGGUUUUCAUUGUGAACUUUUAAAGAUCUUGACCAUGAACUUUUAAUGAUCUUCGCACGAACUUUUAUGGGUCUUUGCCACAAAUUUUAAAGGUAUCCACCACGAACUUUUAAAGUUCUUGACCGCGGGCUUUUAAAGAUCUUCGCUACCACGAACUUUUAUGGAUCUUUGCUGUGAAUUUUUAAGAGUCUUCAUUGCGUGCUUUUAAACGUCUUCAUCGCGUACUUUUAAAGGUUUUCGCCGUGAACUUUUAAAGGUUCACCAGCUUCUAAGGAUCCUCGCACGAACUUUUAUGGAUCUUCCCAACAAAUUGUAAAGGUAUUCAUCGCGAACGUUUAAUGUCUUCACCACGAACCUUUAGAGGCCUUCAUUGCGAGCUUUUAAAGUUCUUGACCACCAGCUUAUAAGGAACUUCGAACAAACUUUUAUGGAUCUUCCCCGAUACUUUUAAAGGUAUUCAUCGCGAGCUUUUAAAGGUCUUCAUCGCGAACUAUUAAAGGUCUUCGUUGCGAGCUUUUAAAGGUCUUCAAUGUGAACUUUUAAAGAUCUUGACCACGAGCGUUUAAGGAUCUUUGCACGAAUUUUUAUGGGUCUUCGCCACAAAUUUUAAAGGUAUCCAUUGCGAACUUUUAAAGGUCUUGACCACGAGCUUUUACGGAUCUUCGCGCGAUAAGUCUUUCCCUCAUACCCUAAGACCACCUCUUCAUGCAUGGAUCAUCUUGUUGAACAAAAACACAUCUUUCUAGCUUAAACUAGAAAACAAAAAAAAAGACAACAAAACAAGAAAAACACAAAAAAAAAAAAAAGAAAAAAACAUAUCUUCGCGUCAAUAUUUCUAAGUUGUCAAAAAUA